AAAAUAGCGCUGGCGGCAGGCUAACACGAUGCAACGUCGACAGGUAGAGAGAAGCUUGCUUCUCCUUGAGAGCGGCGGACGGGUGAGUAAUGCCUAGGAAUCUGCCUGGUAGUGGGGGAUAACGUUCGGAAACGAGACGCUAAUACCGCAUACGUCCUACGGGAGAAAGCAGGGGACCUUCGGGCCUUGCGCUAUCAGAUGAGCCUAGUCGGAUUAUCUAGUUGGUGAGGUAAUGGCUCACCAAGGCGACGAUCCGUAACUGGUCUGAGAGGAUGAUCAGUCGACACUGGAACUGAGACACGGACCAA
Molecule: ribosomal RNA, 308 nt
Filed under: Pseudomonas sp. I-13
Lineage: Bacteria; Pseudomonadati; Pseudomonadota; Gammaproteobacteria; Pseudomonadales; Pseudomonadaceae
Description: bacterial SSU rRNA
Rfam family: Bacterial small subunit ribosomal RNA
Source: RNAcentral